GAGCUACUCCCUCCGUUCCGAAUUACUUGUCUUAGAUUUGUCUAGAUACGGAUGUAUCUAGAAUGCUAGAUACAUCCGUAUCUAGACAAAUCUAAGACAAGUAAUUCGGAACGGAGGGAGUAGGAA
This is a non-coding RNA of Triticum aestivum (bread wheat), 126 nucleotides long. The record is from Rfam. Lineage: Eukaryota; Viridiplantae; Streptophyta; Magnoliopsida; Poales; Poaceae.